AGACUUUGAUUAUGGCUCAGAACGAACGCUGGCGGCGCGUUUUAAGCAUGCAAGUCGAGCGGCAAGGGCCUUCGGGCCCCUAGAGCGGCGGACGGGUGAGUAACACGUGGACAAUCUGCCCCCCGGCCGGGGAUAGCCCAGGAAACCUGGAUUAAUACCGGAUGAGACGGGACGCACGAGGGUGCGAUCCGGGAAAGGCGCUGCGGCGCCGCCGGGGGAUGAGUCCGCGACCCAUUAGCUAGACGGCGGGGUAAAGGCCCACCGUGGCGACGAUGGGUAGCCGGCCUGAGAGGGUGGACGGCCACAUUGGGACUGAGACACGGUCCAGACUCCUACGGGAGGCAGCAGCUAAGAAUCUUCCGCAAUGGGCGAAAGCCUGACGGAGCGACGCCGCGUGAACGAAGAAGGCCGUGAGGUUGUAAAGUUCUUUUCGGGAGGGGGAAUGACCGUGGCAGGGCAAUGGCCGCGGGAUGACGUGAAUCCCGGAAUAAGCCCCGGCUAACUACGUGCCAGCAGCCGCGGUAACACGUAGGGGCGAGCGUUGUUCGGAAUCAUUGGGCGUAAAGGGCGUGCAGGCGGCACUGCAAGUCCGGCGUGAAAGACCCCGGCCCAACCGGGGGGGUGCGCUGGAAACUGCGGUGCUUGAGUACAGGAGGGGAUGCCGGAAUUCCAGGUGUAGGGGUGAAAUCUGUUAGAUAUCUGGAAGAACACCGAUGGCGAAGGCAGGCAUCUGGGCCAUGUUCUGACGCUUGAGACGC
This 758-nucleotide ribosomal RNA is filed under the name uncultured bacterium. RNAcentral describes it as "bacterial SSU rRNA". It matches the Rfam family "Bacterial small subunit ribosomal RNA", at positions 8 to 754 of the family's 1533-position model. The record is from RNAcentral.